Molecule: ribosomal RNA, 451 nt
Filed under: uncultured bacterium
Lineage: Bacteria
Description: bacterial SSU rRNA
Rfam family: Bacterial small subunit ribosomal RNA
Source: RNAcentral
AGUUUGAUCAUGGCUCAGAACGAACGCUGGCGGCAUGCCUAACACAUGCAAGUCGAACGAGACCUUCGGGUCUAGUGGCGCACGGGUGCGUAACGCGUGGGAAUCUGCCCUUGGGUUCGGAAUAACAGUUAGAAAUGACUGCUAAUACCGGAUAAUGUCUUCGGACCAAAGAUUUAUCGCCCAGGGAUGAGCCCGCGUAGGAUUAGCUAGUUGGUGAGGUAAAAGGCUCACCAAGGCGACGAUCCUUAGCUGGUCUGAGAGGAUGAUCAGCCACACUGGGACUGAGACACGGCCCAGACUCCUACGGGAGGCAGCAGUGGGGAAUAUUGGACAAUGGGCGAAAGCCUGAUCCAGCAAUGCCGCGUGAGUGAUGAAGGCCUUAGGGUUGUAAAGCUCUUUACCCGGGAUGAUAAUGACAGUACCGGGAGAAUAAGCCCCGGCUAACUCCGUG